UGGCUCAGAACGAACGCUGGCGGCAUGCUUUACACAUGCAAGUCGAACGGCAGCACGGGGGCAACCCUGGUGGCGAGUGGCGAACGGGUGAGUAAUAUAUCGGAACGUGUCCUGUAAUGGGGGAUAACGCAGCGAAAGUUGUGCUAAUACCGCAUACGAUCUACGGAUGAAAGCGGGGGACCGCAAGGCCUCGCGUUAUAGGAGCGGCCGAUAUCGGAUUAGCUAGUUGGCGGGGUAAAGGCCCACCAAGGCGGGGAUCCGUAGCUGGUCUGAGAGGAUGAUCAGCCACAAUGGCACUGAAACACGGGCCAUGGUCCUACGGGAGGCAGCAGUGGGA
RNAcentral lists this ribosomal RNA (337 nucleotides) under uncultured beta proteobacterium. RNAcentral describes it as "bacterial SSU rRNA". It matches the Rfam family "Bacterial small subunit ribosomal RNA", at positions 20 to 359 of the family's 1533-position model. The record is from RNAcentral. Lineage: Bacteria; Pseudomonadati; Pseudomonadota; Betaproteobacteria.